UUAAUGAAGCAUAUUUCGGAAGUGCAAAAGAU
RNAcentral lists this transfer RNA (32 nucleotides) under Pristimantis ginesi (Rangel robber frog). RNAcentral's name for it is "partial tRNA-Leu". Lineage: Eukaryota; Metazoa; Chordata; Amphibia; Anura; Strabomantidae. The record is from RNAcentral.